This 428-nucleotide ribosomal RNA is filed under the name uncultured bacterium. Its description in RNAcentral is "partial 16S ribosomal RNA". It matches the Rfam family "Bacterial small subunit ribosomal RNA", at positions 354 to 796 of the family's 1533-position model. The record is from RNAcentral.
GUGGGGAAUAUUGGGCAAUGGGGGAAACCCUGACCCAGCAACGCCGCGUGAAGGAAGACGGUUUUCGGAUUGUAAACUUCUUUUAUCGGGGACGAAAAAAAUGACGGUACCCGAAGAAAAAGCCACGGCUAACUACGUGCCAGCAGCCGCGGUAAUACGUAGGUGGCAAGCGUUGUCCGGAUUUACUGGGUGUAAAGGGCGUGUAGGCGGGACUGCAAGUCAGAUGUGAAAUACCAAGGCUUAACCUUGGGGCUGCAUUUGAAACUGUAGUUCUUGAGUGAUGGAGAGGCAGGCGGAAUUCCUAGUGUAGCGGUGAAAUGCGUAGAUAUUAGGAGGAACACCAGUGGCGAAGGCGGCCUGCUGGACAUUAACUGACGCUGAGGCGCGAAAGCGUGGGGAGCAAACGGGAUUAGAUACCCGUGUAGUCC